CUGUAGUGAUGACAAUCUUAGGACACCUUUGGAUUAAUGAUGAAAAGAAUUGUUUUCUGAGCAGC
Cyprinus carpio carpio is the source of this 65-nucleotide small nucleolar RNA. Its record names the gene SNORD58. It matches the Rfam family "Small nucleolar RNA SNORD58". From Rfam's summary of the family: snoRNA U58 is found in introns 1, 3 and 6 of the ribosomal protein RPL17 gene in humans. U58 is a member of the C/D class of snoRNA which contain C (UGAUGA) and D (CUGA) box motifs. NCBI's taxonomy places the organism in Eukaryota, Metazoa, Chordata, Actinopteri, Cypriniformes, Cyprinidae. The record is from Ensembl.